CUUAGCAUCAAACUGUAUCCCAAGAAUGGUGGAGUACUUGAAAGGAAAAGUACUUAGAGGUGUUUCUGCAGCAAAGUAUCAUACAAUAGUGUUAGGAGCUGAUGGAGAGGUGUUCACUUGGGGCCAUCGCCUUGUCACCCCACGGCGUGUCGUAGUAGCUCGAUGCCUUAAGAAGGGUGGAAAUA
Molecule: long non-coding RNA, 185 nt
Organism: Zea mays
Lineage: Eukaryota; Viridiplantae; Streptophyta; Magnoliopsida; Poales; Poaceae
Exons: 2
Source: RefSeq, a predicted model, not a curated record